This 450-nucleotide ribosomal RNA is filed under the name uncultured bacterium. Its description in RNAcentral is "partial 16S ribosomal RNA". It matches the Rfam family "Bacterial small subunit ribosomal RNA", at positions 338 to 795 of the family's 1533-position model. The record is from RNAcentral.
CCUACGGGGGGCUGCAGUAAGGAAUAUUGGACAAUGCCCGCAAGGGUGAUCCAGCCAUGCCGCGUGCAGGAAGACGGACCUAUGGUUUGUAAACUGCUUUUGAACAAGAGAAAACCCCCUUACGUGUAAGGGGCUGAUAGUAUUGUUAGAAUAAGCAUCGGCUAACUUCGUGCCAGCAGCCGCGGUAAGACGAAGGAUGCCGGCGUUAUCCGGAUUCAUUGGGGUUAAAGGGGGUGUAGACGGCUUGGUAGAAAUCUUGUCGCUUAACGAGAAAACUGCCAUUGAUACUGUCAAGCUUGAGUACAGUUGCCGUUGGCGGAAUAUGACAUGUAGUGGUGAAAUACAUAGAGAUGUCAUAGAACACCGAUUGCGAAGGCAGCUAACGAAACUGUAACUGACGCUGAGGCUCGAAAGUGCGGGGAUCAAACAGGAUUAGAUACCCUUGUAGUC